Molecule: ribosomal RNA, 493 nt
Filed under: uncultured bacterium
Lineage: Bacteria
Description: partial 16S ribosomal RNA
Rfam family: Bacterial small subunit ribosomal RNA
Source: RNAcentral
GACGAACGCUGGCGGCGUGCUUAACACAUGCAAGUCGAACGGUGAAGGGACCGGUUUUUGCUGGUUCUGGCUGAGUGGCGAGCGGGUGAGUAACACGUGAGUAACCUGCCCCCUUCUUCUGGAUAACCGCAUGAAAGUGUGGCUAAUACGGUAUAUUCUGCGCCUGCUGCAUGGGGGGGGUGGGAAAGAUAUUGUUUCGGUGGGGGAGGGGCUCGCGGCCUAUCAGCUUGUUGGUGGGGUGAUGGCCUACCAGGGCGUUGGCGAGUAGCCGGCAUGGGAGGGUGGACGGCACUAGGGCGGCUGCGCCGCGGCGACGACUCCUGCGGGAGGCAGCAGGGGGGAAUAGUGAACAGUGGGAGCAAGCCUGAUGCAGCGACGCCGCGUGAGGGAUGGAGGCCUUCGGGUUGUAAACCUCUUUCGCCAGUGAAGCAGGCCUGUCCCUUUUGUGGGUGGGUUGACGGUAGCUGGAGAAGAAGCGCCGGCUAACUACGUG